Molecule: ribosomal RNA, 110 nt
Filed under: uncultured bacterium
Lineage: Bacteria
Description: partial 16S ribosomal RNA
Source: RNAcentral
UAGAGUUUGAUCCUGGCUCAGGAAAGUCGUAAUAAGGUAACCGUAGAGUUUGAUCAUGGCUCAGGAAAGUCGUAACAAGGUAACCGUAAGUCGUAACAAGGUAACCGUAA